AGUGAACGCUGGCGGUAGGCCUAACACAUGCAAGUCGAACGGCAGCACAGUAAGAGCUUGCUCUUACGGGUGGCGAGUGGCGGACGGGUGAGGAAUACAUCGGAAUCUACUUUUUCGUGGGGGAUAACGUAGGGAAACUUACGCUAAUACCGCAUACGACCUACGGGUGAAAGCAGGGGAUCUUCGGACCUUGCGCGAUUGAAUGAGCCGAUGUCGGAUUAGCUAGUUAGCGGGGUAAAGGCCCACCAAGGCGACGAUCCGUAGCUGGUCUGAGAGGAUGAUCGGCCACACGGGAGCUAAGACACGGUCCGGACUCCUACGGGGGCCAGCAGUGGGAAAUAUUGAACAAGGGGCGCAGGCCGCAUCAGGCCAUACCGCGUGGUGGAGGAAGGCCUUCGGUUGGUAAAGCCCUUUUGUUGGGAAAGAAAAGCAGCGGGUUAAUACCCCGUGUUUCGACGGUACCCCAAGAAAAAGGCACCGCCUACUUUCUG
Molecule: ribosomal RNA, 491 nt
Filed under: uncultured bacterium
Lineage: Bacteria
Description: partial 16S ribosomal RNA
Rfam family: Bacterial small subunit ribosomal RNA
Source: RNAcentral